AUCCGGGUUGCGGACAGUGUCUGGUGGGUAGUUUGACUGGGGCGGUCUCCUCCUAAAGAGUAACGGAGGAGCACGAAGGUUGGCUAAUCCUGGUCGGACAUCAGGAGGUUAGUGCAAUGGCAUAAGCCAGCUUGACUGCGAGCGUGACGGCGCGAGCAGGUGCGAAAGCAGGUCAUAGUGAUCCGGUGGUUCUGAAUGGAAGGGCCAUCGCUCAACGGAUAAAAGGUACUCCGGGGAUAACAGGCUGAUACCGCCCAAGAGUUCAUAUCGACGGCGGUGUUUGGCACCUCGAUGUCGGCUCAUCACAUCCUGGGGCUGAAGUAGGUCCCAAGGGUAUGGCUGUUCGCCAUUUAAAGUGGUACGCGAGCUGGGUUUAGAACGUCGUGAGACAGUUCGGUCCCUAUCUGCCGUGGGCGCUGGAGAACUGAGGGGGGCUGCUCCUAGUACGAGAGGACCGGAGUGGACGCAUCACUGGUGUUCGGGUUGUCAUGCCAAUGGCACUGCCCGGUAGCUAAAUGCGGAAGAGAUAAGUGC
RNAcentral lists this ribosomal RNA (534 nucleotides) under Salmonella enterica. Its description in RNAcentral is "partial 23S ribosomal RNA". It matches the Rfam family "Bacterial large subunit ribosomal RNA", at positions 2238 to 2771 of the family's 2925-position model. Lineage: Bacteria; Pseudomonadati; Pseudomonadota; Gammaproteobacteria; Enterobacterales; Enterobacteriaceae. RNAcentral also lists the same sequence under 2 other names. The record is from RNAcentral.